Molecule: long non-coding RNA, 627 nt
Organism: Brachypodium distachyon (stiff brome)
Lineage: Eukaryota; Viridiplantae; Streptophyta; Magnoliopsida; Poales; Poaceae
Exons: 2
Source: RefSeq, a predicted model, not a curated record
AUCGUCGUCUCCGAUGUCGAGCUGGUCGGCGCCGAAGGCUUGCAGUGAAGGGUUGUACCCGCCUUGCCCGAUCGAGAUCAGGUAGAGCGGGAAGAAGAGGGAAGAGCGUGGCAUCCAUUUGCGGAGCAGUUCCCAUGAGAGCAACCAAAUCUCCUGACGACAACUACAAGGAAAGAAAAUUGAAAUGGUGAUUAUUUAUUAUUCGUUGAGAUUCCGGGCUAUGGAAAACAAAACAAGUUCAGAAACAGACUGGAAAAGCACAGACAAGAACAAGACAGAGCAGAUGGACGAUGAACUUGUCUUACGGCGACAUAGAGCAAGGAGGAAGCGACGAUGGUGGAGUAGCGAUCCCAGCAGUAGGAGUCGGCGAGGACGGCGCUGAAGAGCGGCAGCAUGGAGGUGACCCCGGCCCAAAUGCUGACGCUCUUGGCCGCCGCCGACGUGCUCAUCUCCACCACGCCGGUGAGGUAAGUCACCAGGUUGCACGCCACGCCCUUGUACGCGAACCUCUCCACGCCAGCCACCACUGCACGCAUGAACAAACCAACAACAGCUCAGCCCUGCAGGCCUGAAUUGAUGGUCCAACACAUUUGUAUACAAAUUCUGAUCAGAAGUUCAGAGCAUUUA